AUGGGUCCCCCCACAUUAGAGACGGGUUCUGCUCGAGGUUUUUUUCCCUGUUAAAAGGGUGUUUUCCUUGCCACUGUCGCCUUUUGGCUUGCUCUGGGGGUCAGGCAUAUGGGUUCUGUAAAGCGUCUCGAGACAAUUUGACUGUAAUUGGCGCUAUAUAAAUAAAAUUGAAUUGAAUUGAAUUGAAAUUCUUUGCUUCAAGCUAUAUGCAACCCAAAAGAAAAAGAAAGGUUUCCGCCAUGUGGGACCACUUUGAUCUUAUAUCAGCAAAUAGAAUAUUUGUUUCAUCCUGCUCCUCUCAGUUUCCACUUGAUCACUUGAUCUAUCAGAACUGUAAUCCUGAAUGCCAAGACACCUCCCCCCCGGCUGCAGCCUCCCAUCUCUCCAGGACCUGCACAUCUCCAAAACUCAGGGGCAUGCAGGCCAGGUUGCAGCUGACCCUUAUCACCCUGGACACAAACUUUUCCAGCCACUUUCCUCAGGCAGGAGGCUACGGUCCAUACGGACCAGAACCUCCUGCCACAAAAACAGUUUCUUCCCCUCUGCUGUCGGACUUAUGAACCAUUAAAUAACCUCCACUUACCAGUCACUUUAUUCUUUUUACUUGCACUCAUUCUGGGUUCUAUUUGCACAUUCUGUUUGCACUAUUCUGUUCUGGGAAAAAUGAUGACAACCAUUUUUUGCUUGCUCUUUUAUUAUUAUUUCUUUAUUAUAGUAGUAUCAUAAUUUCAUUUUUAUGUUCUAUCUUUUAUGUUCUUUGUUGCAUCAUUCACCAAAACAAAUUUGUAGUUGUGUAAACUCACUUACUUGGCAAUAAAUAUUAUUCUGAUUCUGGUGUCAGUUGAGUCCGUCAACUAGGUUGCCUGUAAUGAUUUUUAAGAUCCAGCAGGUGUCAGCAUUGAGCGAUACAGUACCGACACUAUCAUUACAGUUCGGGUAAUGUGCCACAGCGCUUCUUGAGGCCUCAUCUACCCAUCACUACCUGUUGCACACAGACCUACAUGCGGAAGUGAUGCAGAUGGGAGCAGAGGAAGAAACAGGUGGAGGGCCUCAGCUUAAAUACUCAGCCCCACUUCAAAGAUUGGCCACCAGCUGCAAACAACAUCAGUUCAGUGGAUCCUGAUGAUGAGAGACAGUUAGGUGCUGAUGCCUCUCCAGAGACUGCAGACUACAGGACCAAAGUGUGGUCUGUCCUGUCAUCUGAGAGUUUGGAGGAUCUUGAGCUGCUUGGAGACAUUGAGGUUCCUGAGCAGUCUGACCUGGCUUCUGUCCCACCUACUGGUGAGUCUGGCUGAGGCAUCUGUUAGCCUAUCAUGCUUUGGUCCUUCACAGUCUGAUAUGUCCAUGGACAUGGCUAGGACAGCAAAUGCUGAGGGUACUGACUCUGACCUCAGCCCAGCUGUACCUGACAACUCACUUGACCCCAUAUCAUGCACAGAGACUCCACCAUGACUGACACAGAUGUCAGGCCUGUUCCUGCAGGCCGUAGGUAGAACUCUUCUCUCUCCCUCCUUUCUUUUUGUCUCUCAGGUGUGUUCCUUCCAGAGGCUGCAGUGACAGGUGUGGCUAAUCUAAUCAGCUUCAGCAGAAUAGAAGCAGGUGGAGCGACACCAAUCAGAAGUCAUUCCACUGCAAUAAGACUGGCCUCCACUCACCAUGCUUUGUCAGACCGUGAAGAAUCUCUUUCUGGUUUCUGUCCGUCCAUAUUCACCUGCUCCCCUCUCAUCUGGAUCACAGACCGUCUGACCAUCACAUUCCUGCAGUUCCUGACGCACUCCUGGAUCCGAAACCUCCGAGCAGCCACAUUCUUCACUCUCCUCCCUGGCACUCACCUGGCGUCACCUCCAUCAAACUCCAUUCACAUCCAUUGGAACACUACAGCCUCUGGAACAUCACUCCUGCCUAAGUCCUCUGCACCGCCUGCCCACUCCACCCCCUAGUCAGUAAGCUGGGUACCAGUUCGAGCAUUCCUGACUAUCCCAAUAACGUAGUUGAUCAUCGUUAGAGUAAUUUUGUAGCUUGUAUUCUGGAUCUCCUUCCCAGUGGUAAUUCUUGGGUUUCUGUAAGAUGCAUAUCCGGCUAGCUGUUUGAAAUCAGUAGUUAGUUCAUUGAAUGUUUAUUUGUUUAUUGUGGACAAACUCGUCUGGAUAACUAUUUGUAUUCUCGCCGUCCUGCCUGGGUGAUACCUUACGUGGGUGGUUGUUUUCUGUUCAGGAUCUAUGCUUUAUUCUUGGUAAAUAGUCUCGGCUGCUUAGUCCCAGCUUUUCUGCGUCAUCUUCUUUGUAGACUUCCGGGCGCUUUUGUAGUUCUUGUUCUUGUGUAGUGUCUAGCGCCACUUCUGAGUUUUGUUAUUGUCGCUUGAGUAGCGUCACUACCUGUGAGAAUCCUCGUAGCUUACGCUAACGUAAUCUGUUAAAUAAAAGUUUUUUUUGAAUCUGAUUUACCUCCAUCCAUUUCCUGCAUCUGAGCCUCAGUCAAUCCGUAAUAACAGCUGUAUGUGACACAGAAGUAGCUGUUAGAGAUGUUGAAGUUAGGGGUCAUGCUUGGUCCAGAGCAGGUAGAUUGUUGAGACCAGUUACAAGUUCAAUUGGGAUAAUACAUCAGAGAACAGGGGUAGUAUCAUAGGUGAU
This is a long non-coding RNA of Amphiprion ocellaris (clown anemonefish), 2630 nucleotides long. NCBI's taxonomy places the organism in Eukaryota, Metazoa, Chordata, Actinopteri, Pomacentridae. The record is from Ensembl.